Molecule: ribosomal RNA, 451 nt
Filed under: uncultured bacterium
Lineage: Bacteria
Description: partial 16S ribosomal RNA
Rfam family: Bacterial small subunit ribosomal RNA
Source: RNAcentral
AACGAACGCUGGCGGCAGGCCUAAAACAUGCAAGUCGAACGGGUGUAGCAAUACAUCAGUGGCGCACGGGUGAGUAACGCGUGGGAAUAUGCCCUUCACUACGGGACAACGUCGGGAAACUGACGCUAAUACCGUAUAAUGACUCCGGUCCAAAGAUUUAUCGGUGAAGGAUUAGCCCGCGUCUGAUUAGUUUGUUGGUGAGGUAACGGCCCACCAAGACUACGAUCAGUAGCUGGUCUGAGAGGAUGAUCAGCCACACUGGGACUGAGACACGGCCCAGACAGCUACGGGAGGCAGCAGUUAGGGAUAUUAGACAAUGAGGGAAAGCUUGAUCCAGCCAUGCCGCGUGUGGGAUGAAGGCCUUAGGAUUGUAAAGCACUUUCGUUGGGGAUGAUAAUGACCGUACCCAAAGAAGAAGCCACGGCUAAAUUCGUGCCAGCAGCCGCAGUAA